Molecule: non-coding RNA, 430 nt
Organism: Podarcis lilfordi (Lilford's wall lizard)
Lineage: Eukaryota; Metazoa; Chordata; Lepidosauria; Squamata; Lacertidae
Source: the annotation of a GenBank genome assembly
CGGAGAGCGCUGACUUCUUCUAUUGAAAAUUUGGACUAUUAACAACAACCCGUGAGUAAUUGGGAAACCGGGUUCAAAAUUUUGGAUUUGGCACGAGCGGGGGCGAUUUAAAAAGGAAGUCAAUCCCCCCCCCUAUUGUAAACAUUCCAAAACAAGGACUGGAUAACCAAGGUCCAAAGGGAAGUAUGUCUUUGAUAAAAAUCAUUAAUUUCACGAUGGGAAAUUAUAAGAAAUGUGCUGGAGGAGAAGAGUGGAGGGUGAGAAGAAAAAUGCAACCCCCCCCCUGGGAACCGGGGCGAUUCGUGGAGCUUGGUGAAGAGAGACGGAGACUUUGACAGCUGUCAAAGUGGCUGUCAAAGCUGGAGAAUAUAAAGAGGACUUUACGAGGACCUUGCUGGUUAAUUUUGUUACAAUUUGCUAUAAUAUGGAU